AGAGUUUGAUCAUGGCUCAGGAUGAACGCUAGCGGCAGGCCUAACACAUGCAAGUCGAACGGUAACAUGAGAGCUUGCUCUUGAUGACGAGUGGCGCACGGGUGCGUAACGCGUAUACAAUCUACCUUUUACAGAGGGAUAGCCCAGAGAAAUUUGGAUUAAUAUCUCAUAGUAUUAUAUUAUGGCAUCAUUAUAUAAUUAAAGAUUUAUCGGUAAAAGAUGAGUAUGCGUUCUAUUAGUUAGUUGGAGUGGUAACGGCACCCCAAGACAGCGAUAGAUAGGGGCCCUGAGAGGGGGAUCCCCCACACUGGUACUGAGACACGGACCAGACUCCUACGGGAGGCAGCAGUGAGGAAUAUUGGACAAUGGAGGCAACUCUGAUCCAGCCAUGCCGCGUGCAGGAAGACUGCCCUAUGGGUUGUAAACUGCUUUUAUACAGGAAGAAACCGCUCUACGUGUAGAGCUCUGACGGUACUGUAAGAAUAAGGAUCGGCUAACUCCGUGCCAGCAGCCGCGGUAAUACGGAGGAUCCAAGCGUUAUCCGGAAUCAUUGGGUUUAAAGGGUCCGUAGGUGGAUAAUUAAGUCAGGGGUGAAAGUCUGCAGCUCAACUGUAGAAUUGCCUUUGAUACUGGUUAUCUUGAGUUAUUAUGAAGUAGUUAGAAUAUGUAGUGUAGCGGUGAAAUGCAUAGAUAUUACAUAGAAUACCAAUUGCGAAGGCAGAUUACUAAUAAUAUACUGACACUGAUGGACGAAAGCGUGGGGAGCGAACAGGAUUAGAUACCCUGGUAGUCCACGCCGUAAACGAUGGUUACUAGCUGUUCGGACUUCGGUCUGAGUGGCUAAGCGAAAGUGAUAAGUAACCCACCUGGGGAGUACGUUCGCAAGAAUGAAACUCAAAGGAAUUGACGGG
Molecule: ribosomal RNA, 911 nt
Filed under: uncultured bacterium
Lineage: Bacteria
Description: bacterial SSU rRNA
Rfam family: Bacterial small subunit ribosomal RNA
Source: RNAcentral